This 265-nucleotide long non-coding RNA is filed under the name Mustela putorius furo (domestic ferret). RNAcentral's name for it is "lncRNA (ENSMPUG00000024413.1)". The record is from RNAcentral. Lineage: Eukaryota; Metazoa; Chordata; Mammalia; Carnivora; Mustelidae.
CUCAGGUUUUGCCAGUGGGCCAAGAUGGGCACCUUUAGAGGAACUGGAGUGAGCCAUCUUGACUUCCUUCCUUCUCCUUGAACACAUCUGGUAUAGCAGCUGUUUCCCCUGCAGGAAGGUUCUUCAUACAGGUGCAGUAUGGCUCGGGUCAGGGGAAGGAUUUAAGCUGUCAUGUGCUCUCCCUGGAAGAUGGUCCAUGGCAACAGGCUGGAGUUAAAUGUUACUCACCCAGUUUUCUCUUCUUUUAUGUGGAAUUAAAACUCCC